CAGCUACCUCUGUUGUGAAAAAUGUUCUAACUCCCUCUGCCUCCUCUGUGCCUCAGUUAGCACUUGCUUUUCUGCGAAUAUGGGAGGAUCCCUUCUCUCUCUGGCUAGAUCGUCAGCUUCUGGAGAAACUACUGCCCACUUCAAAGCCAUUCUGAUUCAAUCUGGAGCUAGAUGGAACUCCUUGCUGAUGAAGCCAGCUAAUACGAAGACUGGAGUUCACUCUUCUGGGAGAUCAGCAGGAAACCAGACAGAUCAUGUUCUGCAGAUGCGUGGGGGCAGAAGCAUUUGUAAGCUGCCUGGAAUCAGGAGUGGUGGGAGGCCUUGACUAAUUUGAGGAGAGGGAUGGGUGAAUGGACAGCACAUCUGAUCAGUGAGGAGUAAAGCAGAGGGGCCUCCAGGAAGGGAAGGAGAGGAGAAGAGCUGCAAUCCACACAGGGGGACACUCCAGAAGAGUUUGGCACAAUUACCUGGUCUUUACAUGGUGAAGUUUCAACUCCGCCUUGGGGGGUGAGGCAGGUGAAGUGGUGCCCAGGACUGUAAGGGCAUGAGCGGGUUCUACCAUUCAUCUAAUGGUGACUUCAGAGGACCAAGUCAUUGGCUGUGAGGAGGAGCUCUCUACAGACAACUACCUAUGAGAGAAAACAGGGAAGUCAACCCAACUCCCGGUCACCCAGAGAGAUAACUAGAGCAUGGAAAUCACCUGGAAGGCUUGUUAGAGCACCGAUGUCUGCGCCCCACCCCUGGUUUCUGAUUCAGCAGGGCUAGAUAAGGCCAGAGAAUAUGUAUUUCCAACAAGUUUCCAAGAGAUGCCCAUGCUGGUAAGAGAACCAUCAGCUACGGAUGUCCCUCUGGGGUGGGGCGGAGAUGAGGGGUCUGCCAUUUAGGAUACACUUUGGAAAAAAAACCCCAAGUCCAAUGCUGCUACAGUGCCUCCUGUGACUGCCAGGAAGGAACCCGUUGCUUUCUCCCACACUCUCUCUCCUGCCAGUCAGGCCUCUGGCUUGUUACUCUAAGUCUUUAACUUCAUGGGUCUCCAAGCACCCUGUGCAUGAGGAGUCUUGCCAGCAAAAAUGCUUCCAUUCUUUCACUGGAAUCCUUCUGUUUUCUAAGACAGGAGGAAGCCCAGCAGCAAGGCUCCACAUCUCAAGGUCCUGAGAGCCACUGGACUUGGGGCUCUUAGUAGCUCCAGAGAGUCCCAGGUCAGGAACCAGCACGUCUUUCCAAGGGGUUUUAGCCUGAAUUAGGGACUGUGACUAAACCUCAGUCCCUUCUGAAGUUCAGAGGGAUUAUGCAAACGAGGCCCUGAGGCCAGCCCAGAGCAGCUCAGAGUUCCCCCAGGCAAGUUUGCAAAUGAGGCAGAAAUAGUGACCCCGGUUUACAGUAAUAAAGUCAAAGUUGGCUUCA
This 1404-nucleotide long non-coding RNA is filed under the name Felis catus (domestic cat). RNAcentral describes it as "lncRNA (ENSFCAG00000050669.1)". The record is from RNAcentral. Lineage: Eukaryota; Metazoa; Chordata; Mammalia; Carnivora; Felidae.